CAAUAGCGUAUAUUUAAGUUGUUGCAGUUAAAAAGCUCGUAGUUGGAUUUCGGGUGGGACGCAGCGGUCUCGCAUUGCGUUUGUACUGCUGCAGCCCUCCUUCUUGCCGGGGGCGGCCUCUCGGACUUCACUGUCUGGGGGUCAGAAUCGGCGAUGUUACUUUGAGUAAAUUAGAGUGUUCAAAGCAAGCUUACGCUCUGAAUAUAAUAGCAUGGGAUAACACGAUAGGACUCUGGCUUAUCUUGUUGGUCUGUGAGACCAGAGUAAUGAUUAAGAGGGACAGUCGGGGGCAUUCGUAUUUCAUUGUCAGAGGUGAAAUUCUUGGAUUUAUGAAAGACGAACUUCUGCGAAAGCAUUUGUCAAGGAUGUUUUCAUUAA
This 378-nucleotide ribosomal RNA is filed under the name uncultured eukaryote. RNAcentral describes it as "partial 18S ribosomal RNA". It matches the Rfam family "Eukaryotic small subunit ribosomal RNA", at positions 592 to 976 of the family's 1831-position model. The record is from RNAcentral.